This 494-nucleotide ribosomal RNA is filed under the name uncultured bacterium. Its description in RNAcentral is "partial 16S ribosomal RNA". It matches the Rfam family "Bacterial small subunit ribosomal RNA", at positions 28 to 507 of the family's 1533-position model. The record is from RNAcentral.
GACGAACGCUGACGGCGUGCUUAACACAUGCAAGUCGAACGGUGAAGCGCCUUCCUUUUUGGUGGGUGUGGAUGAGUGGCGAACGGGUGAGUAACACGUGAGUAACCUGCCCCCUUCUUCUGGAUAACCGCAUGAAAGUGUGGCUAAUACGGGAUAUUCUGGGUCUGUCGCAUGAUGGGUCUGGGAAAGAUAUUGUUUCGGUGGGGGAUGGGCUCGCGGCCUAUCAGCUUGUUGGUGGGGUGAUGGCCUACCAAGGCGGUGACGGGUAGCCGGCCUGAGAGGGUGGACGGUCACACUGGGACUGAGACACGGCCCAGACUCCUACGGGAGGCAGCAGUGGGGAAUAUUGCACAAUGGGCGCAAGCCUGAUGCAGCGACGCCGCGUGAGGGAUGGAGGCCUUCGGGUUGCGAACCUCUUUCGCCAGUGAAGCAGGCCUGCCUCGUUUGUGGGUGGGUUGACGGUAGCUGGAUAAGAAGCGCCGGCUAACUACGUG